Long non-coding RNA from Cygnus olor (mute swan), 1227 nucleotides. RefSeq lists it as uncharacterized. The record is from RefSeq and is a predicted model, not a curated record. Lineage: Eukaryota; Metazoa; Chordata; Aves; Anseriformes; Anatidae. The transcript has 4 exons.
AUGUACUGGAAGUUGAAGUAAAAAGGAAAACAAACAACCCUUAUGCCUCUUUACCUAGCUCUGUCAGUUUAUCCAAAUAUUCCUUCCAGGGCUGCAAAAUAAAAGGCUAACACCUUUAAAGACCUGGCUGACUUCCAGCACUGACAGAAGUCAUGCCUGGCCUAUUCUGCUCUGCUGCCAUGCUCUCUUCAACCUGAGGGGUCUUCCAGCAUGGCACCAGUGGGGAACACAUAAAGAGUGAAUUUCUCUUGAUCCUGAUUCAGAGAAACAUCAGAGCUUAUCACAGUCCCAUCCCCACUCGGAGUAGAGAGCCUUUAAGCGGUUAAAUAAGGAUAUUGCACAGGGAAGAUUGCCGGUAAACUGCCUGUGAAGAACACUGCAAACAACAGCAUGCUCCUUCUGGUCACCUAUUCAGAAAAAUCAAAGCCCAAAGGUUUGCCAGGUUGUUCUACAUCUAUUUGCGUGAAUGGGAAGUAAUUUACAGGUCGAGGAUGAGAGAAGGAGCUAGAGACACUGGGAACUUGUUGGUGCAGUGGCCCUGCCCCGCAAAGCAACAUCCACAGAAAACAUUUGGGACUUUGCUUUGGCUUUGGCCUCCCUUCCUGGACUGCAUCUCCGGCAGGGCCCUCUCUUCCUGAACUGUUACCAAGAAAGGAGCGUUAAUUGGCUUCAUUAUUUAGCCUUAAUGUAGAAUGCUCACCACUUAUGCUGAUGCUUGCCAGCACUAUCUGUGAAGUUCAAAGUGAGUCCUUAUGGGUGGAGAUGAGCUUCUGUACAAGCAGCAGCCCUCCUUUGCUCACCUCUGGGACCUUCUCCUGGCACAGCACCAAGAACAGCUGAGCUGUUCUCUCAGACCUACUUUUUACAGAGCUGUCUUGCCAGCCUUACACCCCUACAGAGCCAUUUUGCCAAAGAAGCCAGGAACAGAACUAAUCUAUGCUCAUAUGUAUUGCUUUUGUAUUUUCCAGUGCUAGGCAUUUACAGACAGACCUUUGUGACAAGUUUAUUCCUUCAUAUGUUUAUAUCCUAAGCAAAUGCUAACAGGAUAAAUGUGCUGUCUGCUUCAAUCCCUGCUUGCCUAUUUCUCUCCAAAAUAGUUCUGCAGGAUCUGAGUGCUCUCUAUGGCAAGCUGGUUGUCUGGUAUGUUUAUCUCCCAACUGAACACUGGCGAAUACAAAAAUGACACGCCACCUUUUUGCAGGAAGAAAUAAACUGAGCUUCAGUCUG